This 382-nucleotide ribosomal RNA is filed under the name uncultured bacterium RSD1. Its description in RNAcentral is "bacterial SSU rRNA". It matches the Rfam family "Bacterial small subunit ribosomal RNA", at positions 975 to 1361 of the family's 1533-position model. The record is from RNAcentral. Lineage: Bacteria; Bacillati; Bacillota; Clostridia; Eubacteriales; Clostridiaceae.
CAGGUCUUGACAUCCUAGGAACGGCUAAGAGAUUAGCUGGUGCCUUUCGGGGAAUCUAGAGACAGGUGGUGCAUGGUUGUCGUCAGCUCGUGUCGUGAGAUGUUGGGUUAAGUCCCGCAACGAGCGCAACCCUUGUGAUUAGUUGCUACGCAAGAGCACUCUAAUCAGACUGCCGUUGACAAAACGGAGGAAGGUGGGGACGACGUCAAAUCAUCAUGCCCUUUAUGACCUGGGCUACACACGUACUACAAUGGUCGCUAACAGAGGGAAGCAAUACCGCGAGGUGGAGCAAAACCCCAAAAGCGAUCUCAGUUCGGAUUGUAGGCUGCAACCCGCCUACAUGAAGUUGGAAUUGCUAGUAAUCGCGGAUCAGAAUGCCGCG